AGCGGCGGACGGGUGAGUAACGCGUGGGUAACCUGCCCUAUACACAUGGAUAACAUACUGAAAAGUAUACUAAUACAUGAUAAUAUAUAUUUGCGGCAUCGCAGAUAUAUCAAAGUGUUAGCGGUAUAGGAUGGACCCGCGUCUGAUUAGCUAGUUGGUGAGAUAACUGCCCACCAAGGCGACGAUCAGUAGCCGACCUGAGAGGGUGAUCGGCCACAUUGGAACUGAGACACGGUCCAAACUCCUACGGGAGGCAGCAGUGGGGAAUAUUGCACAAUGGGCGAAAGCCUGAUGCAGCAACGCCGCGUGAACGAUGAAGGUCUUCGGAUCGUAAAGUUCUGUUGCAGGGGAAGAUAAUGACGGUACCCUGUGAGGAAGCCCCGGCUAACUACGUGCCAGCAGCCGCGGUGAUACGUAGGGGGCUAGCGUUAUCCGGAUUUACUGGGCGUAAAGGGUGCGUAGGUGGUCCUUCAAGUCGGUGGUUAAAGGCUACGGCUCAACCGUAGUAAGCCGCCGAAACUGGAGGACUUGAGUGCAGGAGAGGAAAGUGGAAUUCCCAGUGUAGCGGUGAAAUGCGUA
This 579-nucleotide ribosomal RNA is filed under the name uncultured Peptostreptococcaceae bacterium. RNAcentral describes it as "bacterial SSU rRNA". It matches the Rfam family "Bacterial small subunit ribosomal RNA", at positions 94 to 692 of the family's 1533-position model. Lineage: Bacteria; Bacillati; Bacillota; Clostridia; Peptostreptococcales; Peptostreptococcaceae. The record is from RNAcentral.